This is a non-coding RNA of Mycobacterium xenopi 3993, 68 nucleotides long. The record is from Rfam. Lineage: Bacteria; Bacillati; Actinomycetota; Actinomycetes; Mycobacteriales; Mycobacteriaceae.
UUAGCGGCUGGGUCGACUUCGCGUGUGACCACGAGGUAUUCACGCAAUGCGAUGGCGUGCAGAUGCUC